This 271-nucleotide ribosomal RNA is filed under the name Salmonella enterica subsp. enterica serovar Oranienburg. RNAcentral's name for it is "partial 23S ribosomal RNA". It matches the Rfam family "Bacterial large subunit ribosomal RNA", at positions 611 to 884 of the family's 2925-position model. Lineage: Bacteria; Pseudomonadati; Pseudomonadota; Gammaproteobacteria; Enterobacterales; Enterobacteriaceae. The record is from RNAcentral.
UAUAAUGGGUCAGCGACUUAUAUUCUGUAGCAAGGUUAACCGAAUAGGGGAGCCGGAGGGAAACCGAGUCUUAAUUGGGCGUUAAGUUGCAGGGUAUAGACCCGAAACCCGGUGAUCUAGCCAUGGGCAGGUUGAAGGUUGGGUAACACUAACUGGAGGACCGAACCGACUAAUGUUGAAAAAUUAGCGGAUGACCUGUGGCUGGGGGUGAAAGGCCAAUCAAACCGGGAGAUAGCUGGUUCUCCCCGAAAGCUAUUUAGGUAGCGCCUCG